RNAcentral lists this ribosomal RNA (253 nucleotides) under uncultured bacterium. RNAcentral describes it as "partial 16S ribosomal RNA". It matches the Rfam family "Bacterial small subunit ribosomal RNA", at positions 524 to 776 of the family's 1533-position model. The record is from RNAcentral.
UACGAAGGGGGCUAGCGUUGCUCGGAAUCACUGGGCGGAAAGCGCACGUAGGCGGAUUGUUAAGUCAGGGGUGAAAUCCUGGAGCUCAACUCCAGAACUGCCUUUGAUACUGGCGAUCUUGAGUCCGGGAGAGGUGAGUGGAACUGCGAGUGUAGAGGUGAAAUUCGUAGAUAUUCGCAAGAACACCAGUGGCGAAGGCGGCUCACUGGCCCGGUACUGACGCUGAGGUGCGAAAGCGUGGGGAGCAAACAGG